AAGUCGUAACAAGGUUUCCGUAGGUGAACCUGCGGAAGGAUCAUUACUGAGGGGCUUCGGCCCCGUCAAGAUACCACCCCUUGCAUUUUGAGUACCUCUGUUUCCUCGGCGGGCUCGCCCGCCAACGGGGACCACAACAAACCCUUCUGUAGUUGCAGUAAACGUCUAAAACAAAAUAAAAUCAAAACUUUCAACAACGGAUCUCUUGGUUCUGGCAUCGAUGAAGAACGCAGCGAAAUGCGAUAAGUAGUGUGAAUUGCAGAAUUCAGUGAAUCAUCGAAUCUUUGAACGCACAUUGCGCCCUUUGGUAUUCCUUAGGGCAUGCCUGUUCGAGCGUCAUCUAAAACCCUCAAGCACAGCUUGGUGUUGGGCGUCUUGUCCCGCCUCCGGCGCGGACUCGCCUCAAAAGCAUUGGCGGCCUGUGUAUUGGCUUCGAGCGCAGCAGACUAGCGCCUCGUCCCCUCUGCCACGGGCGUCCAUCAAGAACGCAACCCAAUGUUUGACCUCGGAUCAGGUAGGGAUACCCGCUGAACUUAA
Molecule: ribosomal RNA, 537 nt
Filed under: uncultured fungus
Lineage: Eukaryota; Fungi
Description: eukaryotic LSU rRNA
Rfam family: 5.8S ribosomal RNA (bases 186-339)
Source: RNAcentral